GACGAACCGUGCGAACGUUGUUCGGAAUCACUGGGCUUAAAGGGCGCGUAGGCGGGCCAUAAAGUCAGGGGUGAAAUCCUCCAGCUUAACUGGAGAACUGCCUUUGAUACUGAGGAGCUUGAGUCCGGGAGAGGUGAGUGGAACUGCGAGUGUAGAGGUGAAAUUCGUAGAUAUUCGCAAGAACACCAGUGGCGAAGGCGGCUCACUGGCCCGGUACUGACGCUGAGGUGCGAAAGCGUGGGGAGCAAACAGG
RNAcentral lists this ribosomal RNA (253 nucleotides) under uncultured bacterium. Its description in RNAcentral is "partial 16S ribosomal RNA". It matches the Rfam family "Bacterial small subunit ribosomal RNA", at positions 524 to 776 of the family's 1533-position model. The record is from RNAcentral.